This 593-nucleotide ribosomal RNA is filed under the name Salmonella enterica subsp. enterica. RNAcentral's name for it is "partial 23S ribosomal RNA". It matches the Rfam family "Bacterial large subunit ribosomal RNA", at positions 1 to 631 of the family's 2925-position model. The record is from RNAcentral. Lineage: Bacteria; Pseudomonadati; Pseudomonadota; Gammaproteobacteria; Enterobacterales; Enterobacteriaceae.
GGUUAAGCGACUAAGCGUACACGGUGGAUGCCCUGGCAGUCAGAGGCGAUGAAGGGCGUGCUAAUCUGCGAUAAGCGCCGGUAAGGUGAUAUGAACCGUUAUAACCGGCGAUACCCGAAUGGGGAAACCCAGUGUGACUCGUCACACUAUCAUUAACUGAAUCCAUAGGUUAAUGAGGCGAACCGGGGGAACUGAAACAUCUAAGUACCCCGAGGAAAAGAAAUCAACCGAGAUUCCCCCAGUAGCGGCGAGCGAACGGGGAGGAGCCCAGAGCCUGAAUCAGCAUGUGUGUUAGUGGAAGCGUCUGGAAAGGCGCGCGAUACAGGGUGACAGCCCCGUACACAAAAGCGCAUGUGUUGUGAGCUCGAUGAGUAGGGCGGGACACGUGGUAUCCUGUCUGAAUAUGGGGGGACCAUCCUCCAAGGCUAAAUACUCCUGACUGACCGAUAGUGAACCAGUACCGUGAGGGAAAGGCGAAAAGAACCCCGGCGAGGGGAGUGAAAAAGAACCUGAAACCGUGUACGUACAAGCAGUGGGAGCACAGGUUUACCUGUGUGACUGCGUACCUUUUGUAUAAUGGGUCAGCGACUUAU